UGACUGACUGAGUGCCAGCCGCCGCGGUGAAUACGUUCCCGGGCCUUGUACACACCGCCCGUCACACCAUGGAAGUUUGUAACGCCCAAAGUCGGUGGCCUAACCAUUUGGAGGGAGCCGCCUAAGGCGGGACAGAUGACUGGGGUGAAGUCGUAACAAGGUAGCCUCAGUCAGUCAGGG
RNAcentral lists this ribosomal RNA (180 nucleotides) under uncultured bacterium. Its description in RNAcentral is "partial 16S ribosomal RNA". It matches the Rfam family "Bacterial small subunit ribosomal RNA", at positions 1335 to 1516 of the family's 1533-position model. The record is from RNAcentral.